This 498-nucleotide ribosomal RNA is filed under the name uncultured bacterium. RNAcentral's name for it is "bacterial SSU rRNA". It matches the Rfam family "Bacterial small subunit ribosomal RNA", at positions 28 to 572 of the family's 1533-position model. The record is from RNAcentral.
AGCGAACGCUGGCGGCAGGCCUAACACAUGCAAGUCGAACGGAUCCUUCGGGAUUAGUGGCGGACGGGUGAGUAACACGUGGGAACGUGCCUUUUGGUUCGGAACAACUCAGGGAAACUUGAGCUAGUACCGAAUGUGCCCUUCGGGGGAAAGAUUUAUCGCCAUUAGAGCGGCCCGCGUCUGAUUAGCUUGUUGGUGAGGUAAAGGCUCACCAAGGCUACGAUCAGUAGCUGGUCUGAGAGGAUGAUCAGCCACAUUGGGACUGAGACACGGCCCAAACUCCUACGGGAGGCAGCAGUGGGGAAUCUUGCGCAAUGGGCGAAAGCCUGACGCAGCCAUGCCGCGCGAAUGAUGAAGGUCUUAGGAUUGUAAAAUUCUUUCACCGGGGACGAUAAUGACGGUACCCGGAGAAGAAGCCCCGGCUAACUUCGUGCCAGCAGCCGCGGUAAUACGAAGGGGGCUAGCGUUGCUCGGAAUUACUGGGCGUAAAGGGAGCGU